RNAcentral lists this ribosomal RNA (584 nucleotides) under uncultured fungus. RNAcentral's name for it is "eukaryotic LSU rRNA". The stretch from base 214 to 367 matches the Rfam family "5.8S ribosomal RNA". Lineage: Eukaryota; Fungi. The record is from RNAcentral.
GGGGGAGGCAUGUGCACGCUUGUCAUCUUUAUUUCUCCAACUGUGCACAUAUUGUAGACCUGGAGUCGUCUUUGUUGAUUCAUUUCGAGUUGGCACUGCAGCGCUCACAAACCUGCUUUGCCUUUUUGCAUUCCCAGGUCUAUGUCAUUUUCACAACCUCAAUUGUGUUUAGAAUGUUGAAUCAGGUUUUGAUACCUAUAAAGUUAAAUAUACAACUUUCAGCAACGGAUCUCUUGGCUCUCGCAUCGAUGAAGAACGCAGCGAAAUGCGAUAAGUAAUGUGAAUUGCAGAAUUCAGUGAAUCAUCGAAUCUUUGAACGCAUCUUGCGCUCCUUGGUAUUCCGAGGAGCAUGCCUGUUUGAGUGUCAUUUCUAGUUCUCAACUGCGUCGAUUUCUUAUUGAUGUGGCUUGGAUGUGGGGGAUUUAGCAGGCUUUCUGUCAAAGGAGGUCGGCUCCCCUGAAAAAUAUUAGUGGUAUCUGAGCUUACUACAGGUGUGAUAAUUAUCUAUGCCUUCAGUAUGCUAUUGCACUGCUUCCAACGAGUGAGAGAGAGGUUCUCUCUCACAUUUGACGAAUUUGACCUCA